UGCUACUUUUUGGCUUCUAAGCUUAGAUAACACCAGAUCAGCGGCGGUGGAGGAGGAGGAACAUUGUCUGCAGCAGCGGCUGCGACUACUGCUACUGCUAGAGGAGGAGCAGGUUUGUCAUAAAACAAUAUCAUUGAUGGCUCAUCCUUCAAGUCUCCUACACAGCAACUGUGAUUGCAGAUGUUGAAUCGACUUGGGGCCUUGCACCACUGAAGCAAAGUAGUUUUCUGAUUAAGGGAAUAAAGGAAUGGCUUUUGCUUUACUAUUGUUUUUUAGAUUUUUGGUGGGGAUUUUGUUAUUCCUUAGUUUUCUGCUGCCGCUGCCGCUGUUGCUAUGGAGGAAUUGGUUGAGAGGUGGUGAUCCAUUGAGGAGGCUAAGAAAGAGAGAGAGUUGGGUUAUGAGUAGGGUUUUUAUUAAGGCCAAUUUUGUCCUUUAAUGUUUAGACUGCACUGCUUAACACGUCAAAUCCGACGUGUCAUUGUCAUUUGGCAUCCUACUUCGCUUCAUUUCUAACAAUUAAUGGGUCUCAUACGUCCUAUUCAUGUUUUCGACAA
This is a long non-coding RNA of Jatropha curcas, 554 nucleotides long. RefSeq lists it as uncharacterized. The record is from RefSeq and is a predicted model, not a curated record. Lineage: Eukaryota; Viridiplantae; Streptophyta; Magnoliopsida; Malpighiales; Euphorbiaceae.